CUUCAAAUGAAUAUUUGGAAAAUAGUUUGAUUAAUACUCCAAGACCUAACAAAAUGUAUGUACAACUCCUAUCCUUCUCUGACGCUUCUCCAUUCUUUCCUUUCUGAACUAUGAACAUACUUCCUUAUUUUAGAAGACUGAAAACAUCCUUACGGUCCUUGAUUCAUCUAGAAUCCAGCUCAUUUACUCUAUGGUUCAAAAGCACUCUUUAGUAUAUUAAGCAAGGGUAAUGAGGUGGUAGACUACAAUAGAGGCCUGCAGGUCCUUAUCCUGAUAUUCAGUCUUCAAAUACUCCCAUCUCCGCUGAAUCUCUUCUGUGAGACUAAAGUAUUGCUACUACCCUACCCUUUUAAAAAACAAACAAACAAACGUUAAAAAAACAAUCACCACUACUUGUUAACCACCCUCUUGUCUCCAACUUCUCUUAAUCAAGUCUGUGGAACUAGUAGUGAUCUUCUCUCUGCUCGCUCCCGCAGCAUAACCUCCUUGAUCUCUUCUAUCAAUCACCAACGUUGUCCUGAGCACUAAGGGUAUGUCUAUACUACAAGCAAUACAGUGGCACAGUUCAAUUGCUAUAGAGCCUCGUGGAUACUUCAGGGGGACUGAAGGCUCAACUCCAAGGAUGAAGUUGUGGAUGAGGAAGUGGAGCUGGAGGACGAUGUGGCGCACACAACAGGAUCAUCUGUGGUGCAAUAUUCUGCAAUCCGCUGCUGAAGGUUCCUUGGGAGAGCUGCCUUGUUUCUCACCGAAACUUUGCCACGCCACCCGGCAGUUAUUUCUGCAGAGACCAGAGUGGCACACAGGCAAGCAGCAUAGGGGACCAGUCUGAAACCACACACACACAAGAGAUGCACCCUUGCAUCCUGGGUUACCCUUAGGAGUGAGAUAUUGGUUCAAUUACCCUACUCUAAAGGGUACCAAUAUUCAGUCUCCCUAGCCGCUUGUAGUAACCCCCUUCACAAACUAUCCUUUGUCCCUUCUUGCCCAUUCCCCCUUGCUCUCUCUCCUCCCCCGGCAACUCACCAUAUUUGGUACUCAUGCUUAGCUGUGUGCUAGCCAAGGAACAGUGAGAAAGAGGUACGUGUAACUUUUGUGAUUCACAGCUGUGAGCACACUCACAAUUCUAUCUCUGUUCAUUGUUUUUUUGACUUCUGCAGAUGUUCUCCUCCACACCAGCAGAGUGCCUCAGUCAUUGAAGACACUGAACGAGGAAGAGUAAGGACUCUGAAGAUACUUUUUGAGAAAUGAUGCAGUGAACAAACGCAACACAUAGCGAAACAAGAGCAUGGAGGGAGACAAUUAAUUAAAGACUCAGGCUGGAUAGCCUGGAAAGGAGACAGGGACAGGAGUGGAUGAUAAAGCCACUGGUGGGCUAGACAGAGAUGCUGAAGUCCCUCAUUAUGCUGCAGUUUGAGCAAAUCUGCAUGAUUGCCCUUGCAGCCAAUACAGAACUCUCUUCCAUGCCCUCCCCAAAGUCCCCCACCACAUUCCUUGCAUAUUCCCUGUCCCUCACAGUACCCCAUGCAUUCCACGCCAAUGCACUGGUUUCACAACGAAAGCUAGAGAUGCACACAGCUGUGAGAACCCUAACUGCAAGACUGUUCCUCAUUGCUAUGUCCCGUUUGACCAAAAAAUUGUGUUUUGUCCUUUUAUUAAACUUGAGUCUUUGAAAUAAAAUGAGUAUUUGUGUCAUACACAUGUUGGUCAGUGCUAACAUACAAACACAGUGGCUAUAGGUAGGAAUAUUUGCUUAGUACAAUUAAGGCUCAGGAAGCAAGCACUACAGGGGUAAUUCA
This is a long non-coding RNA of Mauremys mutica (yellowpond turtle), 1796 nucleotides long. RefSeq lists it as uncharacterized. The record is from RefSeq and is a predicted model, not a curated record. The transcript has 3 exons. Lineage: Eukaryota; Metazoa; Chordata; Testudines; Geoemydidae.